This is a long non-coding RNA of Zingiber officinale, 501 nucleotides long. RefSeq lists it as uncharacterized. Lineage: Eukaryota; Viridiplantae; Streptophyta; Magnoliopsida; Zingiberales; Zingiberaceae. The transcript is spliced from 2 exons. The record is from RefSeq and is a predicted model, not a curated record.
UCAAUCGUGGCUAAUGGACCAUGUGAAAGGUUUGCCCUUGCCAACCAUAAAAGAGACCUUGGUUGGUUCCUUGUUGAGGAGAGCAACCAUGGCAUUUAGACUCCAAGCCUACUUCACUAUCCUUGUGCUACUUCUCCUCUUUGAGACAUCUUCAUGUAUGAUGCCUUUGAUUCGAAGUCGUGAAUGUGGAACUCAACAUUCCUACAUGAUGACCAAGUAUGUGCACAUGAGAAGGGCUUUGCAAGAGUUCAUCCUAGAUUAUGAGAAUGGAGGACCAAACCCCAAACAUGACCGAAAGAAAGGCAAGCCAGGUGGAAAGGGUCCCUAGCUUUGAGAUAAAUGCACAGGAGCUUAUGACUGUACCUUCACAAGAACUGAUAGCAGCAAGGUCUAUCAAGGCUUUUCUUUUCAUUUUUUUCCCCCUUUCUUGGAGGUGAUAGCAACAAGUAUUCGGAAAUCUAGUGUCAAAAGUGAUGAAGUUGAUAAUCCAUCAUCCUGAAA